Protopterus annectens (West African lungfish) is the source of this 71-nucleotide non-coding RNA. Lineage: Eukaryota; Metazoa; Chordata; Ceratodontiformes; Protopteridae. The record is from the annotation of a RefSeq genome assembly.
GCAUUGGUGGUUCAGUAGUAAAAUCCUUGCCUUCCAUGGAAGAGGCCUGGGUUCAAUUCCCAGCCAAUGCA